This 484-nucleotide ribosomal RNA is filed under the name uncultured bacterium. RNAcentral describes it as "partial 16S ribosomal RNA". It matches the Rfam family "Bacterial small subunit ribosomal RNA", at positions 28 to 523 of the family's 1533-position model. The record is from RNAcentral.
GAUGAACGCUGGCGGCGUGCUUAACACAUGCAAGUCGAGCGGACUUUACAUGAAGCCUAGCGAUUGUAAAGUUAGUGGCGGACGGGUGAGUAACGCGUGAAUAACCUGCCCUGUACCGGGGGACAACAGUUGGAAACGGCUGCUAAUACAGCAUAAGCGCACGGUUCCGCAUGGAACAGUGUGAAACACUCCGGUGGUACAGGAUGGAUUCGCGUCUGAUUAGCCAGUUGGUGGGGUAACGGCCGACCAACGCAACGAUCAGUAGCAGGCCUGAGAGGGGGAACGGCCACAUGGGAACUUAGACACGGCCCAAACUCCUACGGGAGGCAGCAGUGGGGAAUAUUGCACAAUGGGGGAAACCCUGAUGCAGCGACGCCGCGUGAGUGAAGAAGUUAUUCGUAACGUAAAGCUCUAUCAGCAGGGAAGAAAAUGACGGUACCUGACUAAGAAGCCCCGGCUAACUACGUGCCAGCCGCCGCAGUAA